RNAcentral lists this long non-coding RNA (219 nucleotides) under Solanum tuberosum (potato). Its description in RNAcentral is "long non-coding RNA (STUB_LNC008950)". The record is from RNAcentral. Lineage: Eukaryota; Viridiplantae; Streptophyta; Magnoliopsida; Solanales; Solanaceae.
AUUCUUUAGCCUUAAUUAAUUUAACCAAUAUCUUUUAUUUAGCUUUUCUAAAUUGGAUGAAUGUAUAUUUUUAACGCUAAUAACUAACAAGAGAAAAAAAGAAAGAAUAUGGUAAUUUAUGCAUUGAUUGUAUGAAAUGAAAAGUAUUAUGGUUCAUAAUACUUGUCAACAUAUUGUUCCUUUUUUAUCCUUGAGAGUUAUUAGCCUUGAAAAUAUACA